UGGGGAAUAUUGGACAAUGGGGGCAACCCUGAUCCAGCAAUGCCGCGUGUGUGAAGAAGGUCUUCGGAUUGUAAAGCACUUUCGACGGGGACGAUGAUGACGGUACCCGUAGAAGAAGCCCCGGCUAACUUCAUGCCAGCAGCCGCGGUAAUACGAAGGGGGCUAGCGUUGCUCGGAAUGACUGGGCGUAAAGGGCGUGUAGGCGGUUUACACAGUCAGAUGUGAAAUCCCCGGGCUUAACCUGGGAGCUGCAUUUGAUACGUGUAGACUAGAGUGUGAGAGAGGGUUGUGGAAUUCCCAGUGUAGAGGCGAAAUUCGUAGAUAUUGGGAAGAACACCGGUGGCGAAGGCGGCAACCUGGCUCAUGACUGACGCUGAGGCGCGAAAGCGUGGGGAGCAAACAGGAUUAGAUACCCUGGUAGUCCACGCUGUAAACGAUGUGUGCUAGAUGUUGGGUAACUUUGUUAUUGCAGUGUCGCAGUUAACGCGUUAAGCACACCGCCUGGGGAGUACGGCCGCAAGGUUGAAACUCUAAAGUG
RNAcentral lists this ribosomal RNA (538 nucleotides) under uncultured bacterium. RNAcentral describes it as "partial 16S ribosomal RNA". It matches the Rfam family "Bacterial small subunit ribosomal RNA", at positions 355 to 909 of the family's 1533-position model. The record is from RNAcentral.